RNAcentral lists this unclassified non-coding RNA (299 nucleotides) under plant metagenome. RNAcentral describes it as "partial contains 5.8S ribosomal RNA, internal transcribed spacer 2, and large subunit ribosomal RNA". The stretch from base 1 to 105 matches the Rfam family "5.8S ribosomal RNA", at positions 50 to 154 of the family's 154-position model. The record is from RNAcentral.
GAAAUGCGAUAAGUAAUGUGAAUUGCAGAAUUCAGUGAAUCAUCGAAUCUUUGAACGCACAUUGCGCUCGCCAGUAUUCUGGCGAGCAUGCCUGUUCGAGCGUCAUUUUAACCAUCAAGCUCUGCUUGCGUUGGGGAUCCGCGGCUGCCCGCGGUCCCUCAAAAACAGUGGCGGGCUCGCUAGUCACACCGAGCGUAGUAACUCUACAUCGCUAUGGUCGUGCGGCGGGUUCUUGCCGUAAAACCCCCAAUUUCUAAGGUUGACCUCGGAUCAGGUAGGAAUACCCGCUGAACUUAAGC